Molecule: long non-coding RNA, 2266 nt
Filed under: Homo sapiens (human)
Lineage: Eukaryota; Metazoa; Chordata; Mammalia; Primates; Hominidae
Description: HSALNT0195199
Source: RNAcentral
AAUGGCUUAGCUUGGGCUCAGAAGCCUGACACUGAUCUUCAAACACAGAUCUGACCCUAAGCCUUUUUCCACGCUGCUAACGUGAUGACUGUCUUCAGGAUGACCCUCCCCAAAACGCAGGUACUGUUUUUCUCACUUCAGCUUUCAAGUCACCCAGCCAACAAAUGUUGAGCACAGAAGGAAUAACAAUUAUAGCAGCUGAGACUACUCGGACUCUAUCAGAUGGGAGGAUACAUUUCUUUUCCAAGGUUAUUGUGAGGAUCAGGUGAGGUUUGCACAUACUCUUGCUUCGUGGACAGACUGAGUCUACAGAGCUGUGUUUAAACUCUGGCCCCUCAACACACUGUAUGGCUUUGGGCAAUAACUAACCUUACCUACCUGUAAAACGGAGAUAACAGAACCUCAAGGUGCUGCUGUGAAGGUUACAUGAAGCGAGACAUGUGACGUGCUUGGCAUGUGGUAAUGACUUUGUAAACACAAGCUGCAAUUAUGUGUGUAGAAAACCUUGGAGACAGAAGAUGCAGUAAUGAAGACUUUCAUGAAAAUGAGUCAGGUGUUAAAAUAACUUAAUGUAUGUUUGGUUCUCUUGGUAAUUCUACUCCACCCCCACCCCAUUCUAUCAUUGUCUGUCUUUCUAGUUCUCUCAGUUGAAAAGACUCCACUUGAGAAGGCCCCAGCCCACCUGUUUCAAAAUACAGGGAAAAAUGCCAAAUAGCCUCCCCAGCUGGGCCCUAACUGCCUCUGAUAAAAAGGAUGAAGAGAGGUGAAUUCUGAAAAUUAAACAAAUCCUGGUGUCUUUGAAAGGUCACCCAGCUCUGACGUUGGCCGUCCCGUAGGUGACAGACCGCAGGGCCAGCCGGCAGGAAGAAGGGAGACUCAGGAGCAAUUAAAACCAAAGUCUAGGGUGGCCAGAGAGGAAGGCCCCAGGAUGCCACUCCCAGCAGGUAAGCAGCCUGCAACGAGAUGAUGGAGACUUGUUCUGCAGAGCUAGCUGUUCACAAGUGCCUUGUGAACACCUACUUUGUAUAAGCAGCAAGAAUCAAAUUCUGUCCCUCCAUGGAAGAACCCACUUUCUAGUGGAAUGUUAGCACUUCCCUCCAUCCCAGCAGCAGACAAGGAUUCUAUCUCCAGAGGUAGACUUCUGAUCUCUCAGCAGCAACACAGAUGAAGAGGAUGGUUCCAGGGCUUUGACUUCACUGGGAUGCUGCUUUUCAUGGGAACCUGCAGGAGAAAUACCAUCAUCACUUCUAGCAUCUAGGGUACUUCUACUGUUAUGAUUCUGAGCGUGGGUGAUGGCUCAUCUGGGCACCUACUCUCUGCAAGGCUGUGAACCUGAUCCUCUGAGUAAUCUUCAUGACAGUCCUGAGGGGGUGAAGUUGUCCCCACUUGGGGACAGUGAAUGAUGGAAUGAUCUGAUCCCACAUCUUCUGCCAAAGCACACACCAUAGAAACAAGCAUGUGGAUUGCAGGGCCUCACCUCCUUGGUCCUCCUGGGACAUCUCACAUUGACACAGCCCACGCUGCUCAGCCCACCAGCUCUCAGCAGGCCUGCUGCCCCUGCCCUGACCCCGGUUCUCUGAGAGGUUGAAAGGCCAUGGUGAGAUAACCCAGCUCCGUGCCCCCACCUGGCAGAAGAUCAGUUAAAAGGCAUCCAAGCGGAGGACCCCCGUGGCUGCCUAUUUAGAGUUCCUUCAGAGCCUCCCAUGAUAACAGCCACCAUGGCUGAGCGCUUACAUAGCAGAGCUUACAGCUAAGAGCAUGGACUCUGAAAUAAGUCACCUGUCAUCUCCAGGCCUUAGUUUGCUCUUCUGUGAAAUGGGCAUAACGGUACCUCUCAGAGUGGUUAUAACUAAAAGAUCAUAUGCAUGAAAAGACAUACUGCAUGUUGCAUGUUGUCAUGUGGGAACUAAAAGUUGAUCUUGUAGAGUAGAAUAGUGGUUACUGGAGGAUGGGAAGGGUCAGGGGUGCAGGUGGAGAUAGCCCAAGGUAGGUGAAUGGAUACGAAGUUACAGCUAGCUAGGAGGAAUGAGCUCCAGUGUUUUAUAGCAUUGUAGGUGACUGUGAUAGUAAUUUGUUGUAUAUUUUCAAAUAGCCAGAAGGGCAGAUUUUGAAUGUUCCCAACACAAAGAAAUGAUCAAUGUUUAAGGUGAUUUUUAUGUCAAUUACCCUGAUUUGAUCAUUAUACAUUGCAUAACUAUUGUAAUAUCACUGUACCCUAUAAAUAUGUGCAGUUAUGUCAAAUAAAAGCAAAAAUGCUAAAAAAGAU